UGGGCGAAAGCCUGACGGAGCAACGCCGCGUGAGGGACGAAGGCCUCUGGGCUGUAAACCUCUUUUCUCAAGGAAGAAGAUAUGACGGUACUUGAGGAAUAAGCCACGGCUAAUUCCGUGCCAGCAGCCGCGGUAAUACGGGAGUGGCAAGCGUUAUCCGGAAUUAUUGGGCGUAAAGCGUCCGCAGGCGGCCUUUCAAGUCUGCUGUUAAAGCGUGGAGCUUAACUCCAUUAUGGCAGUGGAAACUGAUCGGCUUGAGUAUGGUAGGGGCAGAGGGAAUUCCCGGUGUAGCGGUGAAAUGCGUAGAUAUCGGGAAGAACACCAGUGGCGAAGGCGCUCUGCUGGGCCAUUACUGACGCUCAUGGACGAAAGCCAGGGGAGCGAAAG
Molecule: ribosomal RNA, 387 nt
Filed under: uncultured cyanobacterium
Lineage: Bacteria; Bacillati; Cyanobacteriota
Description: bacterial SSU rRNA
Rfam family: Bacterial small subunit ribosomal RNA
Source: RNAcentral